ACAGCAGUAGCCGCGGUAAUACAGAGGGUGCAAGCGUUAAUCGGAAUUACUGGGCGUAAAGCGCGCGUAGGUGGUUUGUUAAGUUGGAUGUGAAAUCCCCGGGCUCAACCUGGGAACUGCAUCCAAAACUGGCAAGCUAGAGUAUGGUAGAGGGUGGUGGAAUUUCCUGUGUAGCGGUGAAAUGCGUAGAUAUAGGAAGGAACACCAGUGGCGAAGGCGACCACCUGGACUGAUACUGACACUGAGGUGCGAAAGCGUGGGGAGCAAACAGGAUUAGAUACCCCAGUAGUCCCUGUCUCUUAUAC
This 305-nucleotide ribosomal RNA is filed under the name uncultured bacterium. RNAcentral's name for it is "partial 16S ribosomal RNA". It matches the Rfam family "Bacterial small subunit ribosomal RNA", at positions 508 to 807 of the family's 1533-position model. The record is from RNAcentral.